UGACCUUUCCGCCUUGACCCAAAAGC
This 26-nucleotide non-coding RNA is filed under the name Mus musculus (house mouse). The record is from RNAcentral. Lineage: Eukaryota; Metazoa; Chordata; Mammalia; Rodentia; Muridae.